UGAAGGAAAGUCAGCUUAGAGCUCAGAUUAAGGAAGUUACUAGAUGGGUUAAGAUGGGAGCCGCUGAUAAAGGAGGAAUUUGGCACAAAGGGUACCUACCUAUUUUACCUUAGUUACGGUUUAAAUAGGCUGUUGUAUUGAUACCUGGGCAGAGCCAGGUAUCAAAGGGGGGAUGGGUAGUUGUGGUCUAGGAUAGGACACUUUGUGGCCUAUUGGAUAAUAAACUAUUAAAUAAAAAAUUCUAGCUAACAAUUAGGCAUAGAAGUUAAAGAUAUCAUCAGACAGAACAAAUGAGAAACUGUUUGGUAACCAAACCUGUAUGUCCAAGAUUUUAUACACUACAGGUGAAAUACAGGAGAAGGCGAUUCACUCAAUCCAGUCCCUGAGGAGAAUAGACGGGAAGCAGCCCUGUUGGGAGGGGCCAUACCAAGUAUUCCCGGUGACAGCCUUCACGUUGAGAAUAGCUGAAAGAGCUACCUGGGUGCAUAUCACACAUUGUAGGAGGGUAAGACACACUAACACUGUCGAACAAUCACAGGGGUAGAUUCCUUUAUACCCGACCUUUCCCCGCUGUGAGCGUUCAUAGAAGUGAAAGUAUGGCUUGGCCUCUGGCUGAUGAUAUGUUCUCUGGGAAAUGGUGGGGCUUUACAGGAGUGCUGGUUGGUCUGAGCUGUCUUAUUGUGGGAGCAAUAUAUUCCUUAAUACACCAUGACCCAUCCGAGAAUUCAGAUGGUAACUUGAUCCAUAGUUAGACGAUGAGGAUGUUGUAUUAACCAAGCAUAAGAGAUCACUUAAUCUGGAUAAACAGGAAGUGAGAGUGGAGAUUGGGAAGGAUGUCUCAGUUGAGUCCUAUGUAGACCAAAUGGGGUCUCUGACUCCUUGGCAGUCUAGGACUAUGAGCCAUUAUGGAAAAUAUCUGUACAGGUCCCUGUGUAGUUCAUGGACACAGGUCAUAGCUCACACAGUGAGAGAGGGCUAUAUGAAUCCACAUACCCAGUAUGGAAGGAGGUGGAGUAUAGUGAAGGUAAAGGUUUCAGUUGACACCCUAGUGCCAUUCCUGGAAGUAGAAGUUAGGGCAGAUGAUAGCUCUAUAGUCAGCCAGAAUACAAGCAGAACCCCAGAAAAAAACAGAUACUAACAGCAGAGUCGUCCUGAGCCAAGGGCCGGUGCGGAUAGUGCAGACAAAAGAUCUUAAGGAAGUGAUUGAGGUGGAAACUGGUUAUGGGGUUCUAACCUAUGGUUAGAAUAGAUUCAGUAUACAGCCAGAUCAAUAGCGUAAAAAGAAUGUUAGGCCUGCGCCACAGCAAAACCUCAGUUGACAACCAUUCCCUUUCCAUUUGAUGGAAUUGAUGCACCCAGGGGAAUGGCCGGUAUGGUAAAGCUGUUCAUGAGGGCAGGAAAGCCAGACAGUGACAGUUGCAUUAUCUAUAUCCCUAUGUGCCGAUUACAGCCAGACUUCACCCUUUCACAGUUACAGGAGGACAUUAUUAUGGUAUGGCUCGCUACAUCACACGGAUGGGACGUAGGGGAAGUAAUAACAUGCAAUAGGACAGAGAAUGUUACAAUCGACGGGACAAUGAGGGACAUGACUGGCAGAUGAAAGGCCUAAAGUGGAUCUUUAGUGGUUUGUGGAGGUGUAAGACUGUGGCCUAACCUGCCUCCCAAUUGGCCUGGCAGUUGUGCACUAGUGCAGUUAGGCAUGUCCUUCACCCUUACCCAGAGCCCGGUAGAAGAGAGAGGAGUGCUCCGUCAGGAUCUUUUGCCAAUAGAGUUUACAUUAAUAGCAUUGGAGUUCCAAGGGGGUUACUUGAUUAGUUCUGGAUUGGAAUCAAGCAUCUUGAUAACUGGGGGGAUGACACAGCUCCAGACAGAUCAGUGACCAAGGCCCUGGCAGAGAACUGGGGAAGAUAAUGCUCUAACAAAUUGGUUUGAUAGUGUGUUUGGGAAAUGAAGAAAUGUCAUGAUCACUGUGUUUUGGGCAACCUUCACCUGUGUGACUGUGUUAGUUUUGUGCGGAUGAUUCCGGUGUGAAAGGUUCUCAUUUCCAGGACUCUGGGGAAAUCGAUGACGCAACAGAUGGUGAGUUACGGGCCGAUUCCGAGCUCUGACCAGUGGAAUGAAAAAUACAUGACUCUAGACCUAGCAGAUGGAUCUGGCUCCUUUACAUACGAAGAGCCUAAGUUGGAUGAGACCAUUUCUGAUGUUUAGGGAUUUUAGUUUGUUUCUUGUUUUCAUGUUUAGACUGUUUCUUUGAUGAAGAUUGUAAUGAAAAUCCCGAUAAGAAGAGUUCUGAUGUAGGCCUAGAACAGUCAGUGUAAAUGCAUGUAUUGGUUUCUGUUAGGUUGUAUUUGGAUAACAAUAAAUAUUUCUAAUAAAAAUUAGAUGUGUGCUUUUUAAUAUUUUUAAUAAAACUAGAUGUGUGCUGGAUGUAUAAUAUUUAGUCAAAGGGUGGAUAUGUUGAAGUAUUUUUAGCAAAUAUGACUAAAUAAUGUAUACAUUGGGCGUAGAGUUAUAAUAUAAUUCACAGAGUGGUCUGUCGUCUAUUAAAAUAAUAUGUUGGUACAUAGGCCAAGAGGAAGGGUCAACAGAUAACUCAUGAUCACAGUGAAACUAACAACAGGAAAUAUGUCUGGUCCUCAACCAGGGAGGGGAGAAACCGUUGGCCGUGCAGUAGAUUGUGUAACAUAUGGUAGCCGAAGAUAACCAAUGUGUAUGUGUUGGAAUGGAAUUGAAAUGCAGCUUUGUCAUUGUCUGAGAGGAGGAGGGACAUUUAUGACGAAAUGAGAGGUAUAUCAACCAAUGUUCAGGAAAUGAUAUGCAGAGCUCCCGAGAAUAAACGUCACUGACUAUUUUUGGCUGGUCUCCGUCUGUUUCAUUUCCCCCAGAACCUUACAAACUCUGGGUACAGACUGAGUUUUUAAUUGAAUUGGUGAAAACAUAAGAACUAAAUUCAUCUAACAAGGUUGCCCUUGAAAGGAAGCGGCUGAGUACUCAGAACUGGCUGCGUAGUGCAAGGAAGCUGGCUGGAAUCCUGUCAUCUACCCCGUAGAAGUGGGAUGCAGAGGCUUCUUGGGAACUCCAACAAUCCGCCUUCUCAAAGGCACAGGAAUGGCAGAAGCGAAGCUGAAAAAGGCACAACAGAGCUGGCAGAGAAAGGGGAAGGACAGGAGUUGGGGAACGAAGAACUAACAUCUAGUGCAGGGGUGUCAAACUCAUUUUCGUCUUAAACGAGUUCCAGAGGGCUGCACUGAAAAUAUGUUAUAUUUUCUUGCCGUCAGAAUUUCCGAAGCUCCCUGAUUGUCUCGUGAACUGUAUGAACUGUAUGAACUGUAUCAGCCCAUUAUUAUUUCGACACAGUUUAGAUUUGGUUUUAGUCAUUUUCAAGUAUAUUGACCUCGUGUCUCCCCCCCCAAAAAAAACAAUUCCAAAUAUAAACUUACUCAAACAACCUGCGGGCCGGAAUGGAGCCCCUCACAGGCCGAAUCCAAGCUGGUUUACGACACCAUUGAAGGUGUGACAGGCAGCGAUGCCCAGCAGGACCUGAGCCCUAGGACCAUGCCCCAGGACUACCUGACAUGAUGACUCCUUGCUGUCCCCAGUCCACCUGGCUGUGCUGCUGCUCCAGUUUCAACUGUUCUGCCUUAUUAUUAUUCGACCAUGCUGGUCAUUUAUGAACAUUUGAACAUCUAGGCCAUGUUCUGUUAUAAUCUCCACCCGGCACAGCCAGAAGAGGACUGGCCACCCCACAUAGCCUGGUUCCUCUCUAGGUUUCUUCCUAGGUUUUGGCCUUUCUAGGGAGUUUUUCCUAGCCACCGUGCUUCUACACCUGCAUUGCUUGCUGUUUGGGGUUUUAGGCUGGGUUUCUGUACAGCACUUUGAGAUAUCAGCUGAUGUACGAAGGGCUAUAUAAAUAAAUUUGAUUUUAUGUCAAACGA
This is a long non-coding RNA of Oncorhynchus nerka (sockeye salmon), 3935 nucleotides long. RefSeq lists it as uncharacterized. Lineage: Eukaryota; Metazoa; Chordata; Actinopteri; Salmoniformes; Salmonidae. The transcript is spliced from 2 exons. The record is from RefSeq and is a predicted model, not a curated record.